This 66-nucleotide transfer RNA is filed under the name Anisandrus dispar. RNAcentral describes it as "tRNA-Thr". It matches the Rfam family "tRNA". From Rfam's summary of the family: Transfer RNA (tRNA) molecules are approximately 80 nucleotides in length. Lineage: Eukaryota; Metazoa; Arthropoda; Insecta; Coleoptera; Curculionidae. The record is from RNAcentral.
GUUUUAAUAAUUUAAUUUAAAAUAUUGGUCUUGUAAACCAAAAAUAAGAAAAAAUCUUUUAAAACA